This 799-nucleotide ribosomal RNA is filed under the name uncultured archaeon. RNAcentral describes it as "bacterial SSU rRNA". It matches the Rfam family "Archaeal small subunit ribosomal RNA", at positions 88 to 890 of the family's 1478-position model. The record is from RNAcentral.
GCUCAGUAACACGUGGAUAACGUACCCUAAAGUGGAGCAUAAUCUCGGGAAACUGAGGAUAAUUCUCCAUAGACCAAGAGAUCUGGAAUGACUUUUGGUUCAAAGUUCCGGCGCUUUAGGAUCGGUCUGCGGCCUAUCAGGUAGUAGUGGGUGUAACGGACCCACUAGCCAAUUACGGGUAUGGGCCUUGAGAGAGGGAGCCCAGAGUUGGAUUCUGAGACACGAAUCAGGCCCUACGGGGCGCAGCAGUCGCGAAAACUUCACAAUGGGCGAAAGCCCGAUGAGGGAAUUCCUAGUGCUAGCACAUUAGUGUUAGCUUUUCCUUAGCGUAGAUAACUAGGGGAAUAAGGGCUGGGUAAGACGGGUGCCAGCCGCCGCGGUAAUACCCGCAGCCCGAGUGGUGGUCGAUUUUAUUGAGUCUAAAACGUUCGUAGCCGGUCUGAUAAAUCCUUGGGUAAAUCGGGAAGCUUAACUUUCCGAAUUCCGAGGAGACUGUCAGGCUUGGGAUCGGGAGAGGUAUGAGGUACUUCAGGGGUAGGGGUAAAAUCCUGUAAUCCUUGGAGGACCACCGGUGGCGAAGGCGUCAUACUAGAACGGAUCCGACGGUGAGGGACGAAGCCCUGGGUCGCAAACGGGAUUAGAUACCCCGGUAGUCCAGGGUGUAAACGCUGCAGACUUGGUGUUGGAGACCCUUCGGGGGUGUUCAGUGCCGGAGAGAAGUUGUUAAGUCUGCUACUUGGGGAGUACGUCCGCAAGGAUGAAACUUAAAGGAAUUGGCGGGGGAGCACCGCAACGGGAG